GUAGGUGGCAAGCGUUGUCCGGAAUUAUUGGGCGUAAAGCGCGCGCAGGUGGUUCGUUUAAGUCUGAUGUGAAAGACCCCCGGGCUCAACCGGGGAGGGUCAUUGGAAACUGGGGAACUUGAGUGCAGGAGAGGAAAGUGGAAUUCCACGUGUAGCGGUGAAAUGCGUAGAUAUGUGGAGGAACACCAGUGGCGAAGGCGACGUUUCUGGCCUGUAACUGACACUGAGGCGCGAAAGCGUGGGGAGCAAACAGGAUUGGAUACCCUGGUAGCCCACGCCGUAAACGAUGAGUGCUAAGUGUUGGGGGGUUUCCGCCCCUCAGUGCUGCAGCUAACGCAUUAAGCACUCCGCCUGGGGAGUACGGCCGCAAAGACUG
This 376-nucleotide ribosomal RNA is filed under the name uncultured organism. Its description in RNAcentral is "partial 16S ribosomal RNA". It matches the Rfam family "Bacterial small subunit ribosomal RNA", at positions 527 to 896 of the family's 1533-position model. The record is from RNAcentral.